RNAcentral lists this ribosomal RNA (254 nucleotides) under uncultured bacterium. RNAcentral describes it as "partial 16S ribosomal RNA". It matches the Rfam family "Bacterial small subunit ribosomal RNA", at positions 524 to 776 of the family's 1533-position model. The record is from RNAcentral.
UACGGAGGGUGCAAGCGUUGUCCGGAUUUACUGGGUGUAAAGGGCGUGUAGGCGGGAAGAUAUGUCGGGAGUGAAAUCGUACGGCUUAACCGUAGCAACUGCUUCCGAAACUGUUUUUCUUGAAUGCGGGAGAGGCGGAUGGAAUUCCAGGUGUAGCGGUGGAAUGCGUAGAUAUCUGGAAGAACACCAGUGGCGAAGGCGGUCCGCUGGCCCGUGAUUGACGCUGAGGCGCGAAAGUGUGGGGAGCAAACAGG